This 450-nucleotide ribosomal RNA is filed under the name uncultured bacterium. RNAcentral's name for it is "bacterial SSU rRNA". It matches the Rfam family "Bacterial small subunit ribosomal RNA", at positions 355 to 825 of the family's 1533-position model. The record is from RNAcentral.
CCGAGAAUAUUCGACAAUGGGCGAAAGCCUGAUCGAGCGAUACCGCGUGGUGGAUGAAGCGCUUCGGCGCGUAAACACCUUUUAUGAGGGAGGAAGUUAUUGACGUUACCUCAUGAAUAAGGGGCUCCUAACUCUGUGCCAGCAGGAGCGGUAAUACAGAGGCCCCAAGCAUUACCCGGAAUCACUGGGCGUAAAGGGUGCGCAGGCGGCUCUGCAAGUCAGAUGUGAAAGCCUGGAGCUCAACUCCAGAACUGCCUUUGAAACUAGGUCGCUAGAAUCACGGAGAGGUGAGUGGAAUUCCGAGUGUAGAGGUGAAAUUCGUAGAUAUUCGGAAGAACACCAGUGGCGAAGGCGGCUCACUGGACGUGUAUUGACGCUGAGGUACGAAAGCGUGGGGAGCAAACAGGAUUAGAUACCCCAGUAGUCCCUGAGCGGGCUGGCAAGGCGCAU